RNAcentral lists this ribosomal RNA (482 nucleotides) under uncultured bacterium. RNAcentral's name for it is "partial 16S ribosomal RNA". It matches the Rfam family "Bacterial small subunit ribosomal RNA", at positions 30 to 507 of the family's 1533-position model. The record is from RNAcentral.
AUUGAACGCUGGCGGCAUGCUUUACACAUGCAAGUCGAACGGUAACAGGUCUUCGGAUGCUGACGAGUGGCGAACGGGUGAGUAAUACAUCGGAACGUGCCUAGUAGUGGGGGAUAACUACUCGAAAGAGUAGCUAAUACCGCAUGAGAUCUACGGAUGAAAGCAGGGGACCUUCGGGCCUUGUGCUACUAGAGCGGCUGAUGGCAGAUUAGGUAGUUGGUGGGGUAAAGGCUUACCAAGCCUGCGAUCUGUAGCUGGUCUGAGAGGACGACCAGCCACACUGGGACUGGGACACGGCCCAGACUCAUACGGGAGGCAGCAGUGGGGAAUUUUGGACAAUGGGCGAAAGCCUGAUCCAGCAAUGCCGCGUGGAGGAUGAAGGCCCUCGGGUUGUAAACUGCUUUUGUACGGAACGAAAAGCCUGGGGCUAAUAUCCCCGGGUCAUGACGGUACCGUAAGAAUAAGCACCGGCUAACUACGUG